AUUGAACGCUGGCGGCAGGCCUAACACAUGCAAGUCGAACGGUAACAGGGAUCAGCUUGCUGAUUCGCUGACGAGUGGCGGACGGGUGAGUAAUGUCUGGGAAACUGCCUGAUGGAGGGGGAUAACUACUGGAAACGGUAGCUAAUACCGCAUAACGUCGCAAGACCAAAGAGGGGGACCUUCGGGCCUCUUGCCAUCGGAUGUGCCCAGAUGGGAUUAGCUAGUAGGUGGGGUAACGGCUCACCUAGGCGACGAUCCCUAGCUGGUCUGAGAGGAUGACCAGCCACACUGGAGCUGAGACACGGUCCAGACUCCUACGGGAGGCAGCAGUGGGGAAUAUUGCACAAUGGGCGCAAGCCUGAUGCAGCCAUGCCGCGUGUAUGAAGAAGGCCUUCGGGUUGUAAAGUACUUUCAGCGGGGAGGAAGGGAGUAAAGUUAAUACCUUUGCUCAUUGACGUUACCCGCAGAAGAAGCACCGGCUAACUCCGU
RNAcentral lists this ribosomal RNA (489 nucleotides) under uncultured bacterium. RNAcentral's name for it is "partial 16S ribosomal RNA". It matches the Rfam family "Bacterial small subunit ribosomal RNA", at positions 30 to 506 of the family's 1533-position model. The record is from RNAcentral.